CUUAAGGAUUCAUUCUGACCUUUUCUUGGCUCUAGGAAGCAUUGAUGUGCACCAGCUAUGCUUUACCUAUAAACAUUGCUAUGGGCUCCAGUGAAGACGAAAUCAGGCUGAGGAAUUUAAUUACUUUGCUUAUCUCCUGAAAGCCAUAAAAGGAGCAGCUUUAUCAACAGCCCAUUCCAAAGAAGACGACUUUAGAAGACAGUGGGAACCAGUUUGGCAGCUGAACUAUUCUGGAAAAUUCUGUGGGGAGGAAAAAGCCCAUCAGCACUUUCUUUCUAAAUUAAAGGCAGAGACAUUGUGGGG
This 303-nucleotide long non-coding RNA is filed under the name Chinchilla lanigera (long-tailed chinchilla). RNAcentral describes it as "lncRNA (ENSCLAG00000024424.1)". Lineage: Eukaryota; Metazoa; Chordata; Mammalia; Rodentia; Chinchillidae. The record is from RNAcentral.